This is a long non-coding RNA of Haemorhous mexicanus (house finch), 278 nucleotides long. RefSeq lists it as uncharacterized. NCBI's taxonomy places the organism in Eukaryota, Metazoa, Chordata, Aves, Passeriformes, Fringillidae. The record is from RefSeq and is a predicted model, not a curated record. The transcript is spliced from 3 exons.
CCCCCUCCCCCCAGUUCGUGAGCCGGAGGUUGCGGCGAGCGGCUCGGCAGAAGGAGGAAGAGGCCGUGUACGCCGGUCUCAGCGAGGGCCACCAGGAGACCUACGAGACCCUGCAGAUGAAGAGCUCCUGACCCCCCCUGUGUCCCCUCCUGUGUCCCCUCCCCCUGUCCCCCUCCUGUCCCCAAACCCCGGGACCCCCCUGCCAACGCCAGGACGGAAAAUUGGGAAUUUUUUUUUCCCCUAAAUAUGGAAAAUUGGGAUUUUUUCCCCUCUAAAAA